UAUUGCACAAUGGGCGAAAGCCUGAUGCAGCAACGCCGCGUGAGGGAUGACGGCCUUCGGGUUGUAAACCUCUUUUAGUAGGGAAGAAGCGAAAGUGACGGUACCUGCAUAAAAAGCACCGGCUAACUACGUGCCAGCAGCCGCGGUGAUACGUAGGGUGCAAGCGUUGUCCGGAAUUAUUGGGCGUAAAGAGCUCGUAGGCGGUUUGUCGCGGCUGCUGUGAAAGCCCGAGGCGUAACCUCAGGCUUGCAGUGGGUACGGGCAGACUAGAGUGCGGUAGGGGAGAUUGGAAUUCCUGGUGUAGCGGUGGAAUGCGCAGAUAUCAGGAGGAACACCGAUGGCGAAGGCAGAUCUCUGGGCCGUAACUGACGCUGAGGAGCGAAAGCGUGGGGAGCGAACAG
RNAcentral lists this ribosomal RNA (401 nucleotides) under uncultured bacterium. Its description in RNAcentral is "bacterial SSU rRNA". It matches the Rfam family "Bacterial small subunit ribosomal RNA", at positions 362 to 775 of the family's 1533-position model. The record is from RNAcentral.